GCAAGGCGGCACCCUGGGCCCUUCUGCUGGGCCUGCCUGACUGCUUUGGAAUUCAGGAAAGGCAUGCUUUGCCUGUGUGGGAGGGAGCUGAGGAAGUCUGAGCCAUCCACAACCGACCAUCUGAAGUCACUUUCCCAGGGAGCCGAAGACGCACAUGGCCAGACACUGCUCUGCUUUUCAAAGAGAUAGUGAAACAUGAUAAAUAGCAUGCUAUUUAAGACAAGAUGUUUUCAAACAACUGGACCAAAUCAACAAAACGGAACCAUAUGCUUCAUGAAGACCACCUUCAUAUUCCUCACAGGAACCUGAAGCUGGGCAUCUGGACAGAGACUCUCUGCUGCCAUCACUGUUACGAAAACAUUUGGAAUAUUUUAGCAAAUGCGUGGGCUUGGAAGUAGAUGAGAGGCAGGAAGCUGCACGGUCUGGGCUCAGAUUG
Prionailurus viverrinus (fishing cat) is the source of this 436-nucleotide long non-coding RNA. RefSeq lists it as uncharacterized. The record is from RefSeq and is a predicted model, not a curated record. Lineage: Eukaryota; Metazoa; Chordata; Mammalia; Carnivora; Felidae. The transcript is spliced from 4 exons.